UCUGAUCAGUUUCCAACAAAUUCCAGGUAC
Molecule: non-coding RNA, 30 nt
Filed under: Mus musculus (house mouse)
Lineage: Eukaryota; Metazoa; Chordata; Mammalia; Rodentia; Muridae
Source: RNAcentral